This is a non-coding RNA of Paramuricea clavata, 73 nucleotides long. Lineage: Eukaryota; Metazoa; Cnidaria; Anthozoa; Malacalcyonacea; Plexauridae. The record is from the annotation of a GenBank genome assembly.
GCCUUUGUAGCUCUGUUGGUUACAGCACUGUACCAGAAUCGCAGGGCUGCAGGUUCAAUUCUUGCCAGGGACC